AAUACUAACCAGUCACCGAUAGCGAAUAGUACCGUGAGGGAAAGGUGAAAAGAACCCAGAGAUGGGAGUGAAAUAGAAUCUGAAACCAUAUGCCUACAACGUGUUAGAGCACAUUAAUGUGUGAUAGCGUGCGUUUUGAAGUAUGAGCCAGGGAGUUAUUGUAGCAUGCAAGGUUAAGUUGUAGAGACGGAGCCGUAGGGAAACCGAGUCUUAAUAGGGCGAUUAGUAUGUUGCAAUAGACCCGAAACGGGAUGAUCUAGCCAUGGGCAGGUUGAAGUUUGGGUAACACCAAAUGGAGGACCGAACCGACGUUCGUUGAAACGACCGCGGAUGACCUGUGGUUAGGGGUGAAAUUCCAAUCGAAUCCCGUGAUAGCUGGUUCUCGCCGAAAUAAUUUUAGGAUUAGCGUUGGAUUAUGAAUGUAUGAAGGUAAAGCACUGAAUCUAUGAUGGCGUCACCUCGAUGUACUGAAUAGAAUUAAACUCUGAAUGUCAUACAUUUUACUCCAGCAGUCAGACUGUGGGGGAUAAGCUUCAUAGUCGCGAGGGAAAAAGCCCAGAUCGUUAGCUAAGGUCCCUAAAUUAUGCUAAGUGGAAAAGGAUGUUGAAAUACUUAAACAGCAAGGAUGUUGGCUUAGAAGCAGCCAUCGUUUAAAGAGUGCGUAACAGCUCACUUGUCGAGUGUUUCUGCGCCGAAGAUUCAACGGGGCUAAGCAUAAUACCGAAGCUACGGGCUGCAUUGCAGCGGUAGGCGAGUGUUCUAUAUGGGACGAAGGUAGAUCGUGAGAACUACUGGACUUUAUAGAAGUAAGAAUCCUGGCAUAAGUAACGUAUGGAAGUGAGAAUCUUCCAAGCCGUAUUGACUAAGGUUUCCAGGACUAGGUUCGUCCAUCCUGGGUUAGUCGGUCCUAAGGUCAGGCCGAAAGGCGUAGCCGAUGGGAAACAGGUUAAUAUUCCUGUACCAAUAUAUGAAUGAUGGAGUGACGGAGAAGGUUAUUGCAGCCCGGUUAUUGGAUUCCGGGUUAAAUGUCAAGUUUUGUGGGUUGGCAAAUCCGCCCGCUAUAAUAAUGAGGCAUGAAUACGAGUGAACCCUUCGGGUAGUAGCGAAGCUGCAUAUAUCAUGCUUCCAAGAAAAGCUUCUAGUUUAUCAUUAUAUUGUCCGUACCGAGAACGAACACACGUGGUCAAGGAGAGUAUCCUAAGGCUAGCGAGUUAACUAUUGUUAAGGAACUCUGCAAAUUCAUCCCGUACGUUCGCAAUAAGGGAUGCUCAAGUUUCUUGAGCCGCAGUGAAGAGCGAGGGGGAACUGUUUAACAAAAACACAGCUCUAUGCUAAAUCGCAAGAUGAUGUAUAUGGGGUGACACCUGCCCAGUGCCGGAAGGUUAAGGAAGGAAGUUAGGAGCAAUCUGAAGCUUUUGACCGAAGCCCUGGUGAACGGCGGCCGUAACUAUAACGGUCCUAAGGUAGCGAAAUGCCUUGUCGGGUAAAUUCCGUCCCGCUUGAAUG
This 1506-nucleotide ribosomal RNA is filed under the name uncultured Mycoplasma sp. Its description in RNAcentral is "partial 23S ribosomal RNA". It matches the Rfam family "Bacterial large subunit ribosomal RNA", at positions 469 to 1998 of the family's 2925-position model. Lineage: Bacteria; Bacillati; Mycoplasmatota; Mollicutes; Mycoplasmatales; Mycoplasmataceae. The record is from RNAcentral.